RNAcentral lists this ribosomal RNA (119 nucleotides) under Pteropus alecto (black flying fox). The record is from RNAcentral. Lineage: Eukaryota; Metazoa; Chordata; Mammalia; Chiroptera; Pteropodidae.
GUCUCCAGCCAUGCCACCCUGGACAUACCCAAUCUCGUCUGAUCUCGGAAUCUAAGCAGGGUUGGGCCUGGUUAGUGCUUGGAUGGGAUACCACCUAGGAAGACUGGAUGCUGUAGGCG